Molecule: non-coding RNA, 1995 nt
Organism: Xenopus tropicalis (tropical clawed frog)
Lineage: Eukaryota; Metazoa; Chordata; Amphibia; Anura; Pipidae
Source: RefSeq, a predicted model, not a curated record
UCCUGGGAUUUAGCGCUCACUCUCUGCAGCUCCCAUUCCUGCCAGCCCCCAGCAACUGCCAGUGUAGUGCCAGCCCCCAGAACCGGCAUUUAGUACAGCCAUAAGCAUCUGCUUGUAAUGCCAACCUGUAGUGCCAGCUCCCAGUACUGCAGGCAUGAGUGCCAGCUCUAAGUGCCAGCAGAUCUCAGUGCCAGCUCCCAGUUCCAGUGCUUAGGGUCAGUACUGAGCAGCAGCCCCUAGAGACCAGUCAGGGUGCCCCCAGUGCCAGCCUUUAUACCAGUCUCCUGGUCUCCCCCACACCCUGGGGCACCCCACAGCCUGGCAAUGGACAGCUCCAUCUUUGAGAUUAUCAUUGAUGAAUUUGAAGGCAACUGCAGCCUUUUGGAUUUUUUUCAGGACAGUUUAUUCCACUCUGAUUCCUCCUCUUUCUCUGACUUCGAAGGUCCCUAUUGCAGCGCCACCAUUGACCAGAUUGGUACCUGCUGGCCCAGGAGCAUCGCCGGGGGGCUUGUGGAAAGACCCUGCCCGGAUUCCUUCAAUGGGAUUAGAUACAACACUACUAGAAGUGUCACCAGAGAAUGCUUUGAGAAUGGAACCUGGGCGUCCUGGAUGAACUACUCGCAGUGUGUGCCCAUUCUGGAUAAUAAGAGGAAGUACGCCCUUCAUUACAAGAUCGCUCUCAUCAUUAACUACCUGGGCCACUGCAUCUCCGUCUUGGCUCUCGUCAUCGCCUUCUUGCUCUUUCUGUGUCUGAGGAGUAUACGAUGCCUCCGGAACAUUAUCCACUGGAAUUUAAUCACUACUUUCAUCCUGAGGAACAUCAUGUGGUUCCUGCUGCAGAUGAUCGACCAUAGAAUUCACGAAAGCAACGAGGUCUGGUGUCGGUGCAUCACAACUAUUUACAAUUACUUUGUGGUGACCAACUUCUUCUGGAUGUUUGUGGAAGGAUGUUACCUACACACAGCGAUAGUAAUGACCUACUCCACCGACAAGCUUAGGAAAUGGGUGUUUCUCUUCAUAGGGUGGUGCAUUCCCUCUCCGAUCAUUGUCACCUGGGCCGUCUGCAAGCUUUUCUAUGAAAAUGAACAGUGUUGGAUUGGAAAGGAGCCGGGGAAAUACAUUGAUUACAUAUAUCAGGGGCCGGUGAUUCUGGUACUGCUAAUAAACUUUGUGUUUUUAUUCAACAUUGUGAGAAUUUUGAUGACAAAACUGAGGGCGUCAACUACGUCUGAGACGAUACAGUACAGGAAGGCAGUGAAGGCCACGUUAGUGCUCCUCCCGCUCCUGGGAAUCACCUACAUGCUCUUCUUCGUCAACCCCGGAGAGGAUGAUGUUUCUCAGAUCGUUUUUAUUUACUUCAACUCCUUUCUCCAAUCCUUUCAGGGUUUCUUUGUGUCAGUAUUUUACUGCUUCCUUAACGGGGAGGUCCGAUCAGCAGCAAGAAAAAGAUGGCACCGCUGGCAGGACCACCAUUCUCUCCGGGUUCGAGUGGCCCGAGCAAUGUCCAUACCAACAUCACCGACCAGAAUCAGCUUUCACAGCAUCAAGCAAACGGCAGCCGUGUGAUUGUAAUACCGCGAGAGACCACUAGGUUUCCCGUUCUUUGCCCUGGGCUUUUGUUUGUCUUUUUUUCCCCACUGUGGGGCGCCAUUGCGUGUUUGGUGGCGCCACAUUUACAUUUGUACAUGAAGCUUUAUUGCCAACAUGGGAGAUGGACUGAGAACACACAGCUGGAAGGCCAGGGCCUCAUUCAGAAGAACCAUUGGGUGGCGUAAGCACAAACUACAGGAGGCGCCACCUCCGCCAUUGAGUUUCUUCUUCUUUUUGUUUUUUUUAUUUAAAUGUUGUGCGUGGACAGUGACUUCAGCUCCUUUUCAUUGGUCGGAAGGUCGUUUGCGGUUUUAUUGCAGAUAUGACUGUAUAUUUGCCAAUGGGUAAAAUAGUGAAUAUUUUCAUACGUGCAUAUUUAUAAAUAUGGACAGAAAUGGAAGGGAG